AGAACGAACGCUGGCGGCAGGCUUAACACAUGCAAGUCGAACGGUUGUAGCAAUACAGCAGUGGCAGACGGGUGAGUAACACGUGGGAACCUUCCUAGGGGUACGGAACAACUCAGGGAAACUUGAGCUAAUACCGUAUACGUCCGUGAGGAGAAAGAUUUAUCGCCCCUAGACGGGCCCGCGUAGGAUUAGGUAGUUGGUGAGGUAACGGCUCACCAAGCCUACGAUCCUUAGCUGAUCUGAGAGGAUGAUCAGCCACACUGGGACUGAGACACGGCCCAGACUCCUACGGGAGGCAGCAGUGGGGAAUCUUGGACAAUGGGCGCAAGCCUGAUCCAGCCAUGCCGCGUGAGUGAAGAAGGCCUUCGGGUGUAAAGCUCUUUUACCAGGGACGAUAAUGACGGUACCUGGAGAAUAAAGCCCCCGGCAAACUUCGUGACCAGCAGCCGC
This 450-nucleotide ribosomal RNA is filed under the name uncultured soil bacterium. Its description in RNAcentral is "bacterial SSU rRNA". It matches the Rfam family "Bacterial small subunit ribosomal RNA", at positions 26 to 518 of the family's 1533-position model. The record is from RNAcentral.